RNAcentral lists this long non-coding RNA (718 nucleotides) under Homo sapiens (human). Its description in RNAcentral is "HSALNT0160658". Lineage: Eukaryota; Metazoa; Chordata; Mammalia; Primates; Hominidae. The record is from RNAcentral.
GCGUCCUCCCCAGGCUGAAGUGUCCUCAGGUUUCAUGUGGAUUUGCCCAGUAAUGGAUGGCUCCACCGAGGCCAGGUUGGGGAAGUUCAGCCUCGAGGACACUAGGGGACGAAAAACUUCAAAAAGAAGACUCUUUUUAUUAAUAUUUUGGCGUUCUUUUUGGAGAGGAACUUUUGGGAUGUAGCCUUUACCUGUUUCCUGAAUUUGACAUCCAAAAAGCCUUUUGGAAAACACCAUUCUAAAUUUAUCCUGUUCUGAAUCAUCAUCGCUUCUGAUAGAUGCAGUUGCUUGCUGACAUCGUGAUCUUUGAUUUUGUACAACGCUAUUUGGGCUAACUUUUGGGAUUUUACUUUGUGCUUAGAAUUUGAAAGUAGUAUUCAUUGGAAAGAGACUCCAAGAAAAUACUCGAAGACAUCAAAAGCUGGAUUCGAGGGUAUAACGUGUUUUGUUUUGUUUUUUAAAUUAGAAAAAUAAGGAAUUGCAGUGUGAUUUUCUUUCCCCCUUUAACUUAGAGGAACGAGGAUUAUACAGAAAUUUGAAAUUUCAACAAGAAAAACUUAAGCUUCCUUGGAUUCCCACGUCAAAGGAAAGUUUCAAGCUUUCAGAAGGAGUUCUCACUCGAAGAUAAAGAACAGCUCGCUAACCACGAAAGAGGAAUCGAUGCUCAGCUUUUAGUUGCACUUCCUAAAGUUGCAGAAUUAAGACAAAUCUUUGAACC